GGUUAAGCGACUAAGCGUACACGGUGGAUGCCUAGGCAGUCAGAGGCGAUGAAGGGCGUGCUAAUCUGCGAAAAGCGUCGGUAAGCUGAUAUGAAGCGUUAUAACCGACGAUACCCGAAUGGGGAAACCCAGUGCAAUACGUUGCACUAUCGUUAGAUGAAUACAUAGUCUAACGAGGCGAACCGGGGGAACUGAAACAUCUAAGUACCCCGAGGAAAAGAAAUCAACCGAGAUUCCCCCAGUAGCGGCGAGCGAACGGGGAGGAGCCCAGAGUCUGAAUCAGUUUGUGUGUUAGUGGAAGCGUCUGGAAAGUCGCACGGUACAGGGUGAUAGUCCCGUACACCAAAAUGCACAGGCUGUGAACUCGAUGAGUAGGGCGGGACACGUGACAUCCUGUCUGAAUAUGGGGGGACCAUCCUCCAAGGCUAAAUACUCCUGACUGACCGAUAGUGAACCAGUACCGUGAGGGAAAGGCGAAAAGAACCCCGGCGAGGGGAGUGAAAUAGAACCUGAAACCGUGUACGUACAAGCAGUGGGAGCACCUUCGUGGUGUGACUGCGUACCUUUUGUAUAAUGGGUCAGCGACUUAUAUUUUGUAGCAAGGUUAACCGAAUAGGGGAGCCGUAGGGAAACCGAGUCUUAACUGGGCGUCUAGUUGCAAGGUAUAGACCCGAAACCCGGUGAUCUAGCCAUGGGCAGGUUGAAGGUUGGGUAACACUAACUGGAGGACCGAACCGACUAAUGUUGAAAAAUUAGCGGAUGACUUGUGGCUGGGGGUGAAAGGCCAAUCAAACCGGGAGAUAGCUGGUUCUCCCCGAAAGCUAUUUAGGUAGCGCCUCGUGAACUCAUCUUCGGGGGUAGAGCACUGUUUCGGCUAGGGGGCCAUCCCGGCUUACCAAACCGAUGCAAACUCCGAAUACCGAAGAAUGUUAUCACGGGAGACACACGGCGGGUGCUAACGUCCGUCGUGAAGAGGGAAACAACCCAGACCGCCAGCUAAGGUCCCAAAGUCAUGGUUAAGUGGGAAACGAUGUGGGAAGGCACAGACAGCCAGGAUGUUGGCUUAGAAGCAGCCAUCAUUUAAAGAAAGCGUAAUAGCUCACUGGUCGAGUCGGCCUGCGCGGAAGAUGUAACGGGGCUAAACCAUGCACCGAAGCUGCGGCAGCGACACUUAGGUGUUGUUGGGUAGGGGAGCGUUCUGUAAGCCGUUGAAGGUGACCUGUGAGGGUUGCUGGAGGUAUCAGAAGUGCGAAUGCUGACAUAAGUAACGAUAAUGCGGGUGAAAAACCCGCACGCCGGAAGACCAAGGGUUCCUGUCCAACGUUAAUCGGGGCAGGGUGAGUCGACCCCUAAGGCGAGACUGAAAAGCGUAGUCGAUGGGAAACAGGUUAAUAUUCCUGUACUUGGUGUUACUGCGAAGGGGGGACGGAGAAGGCUAGGCUGGCCGGGCGACGGUUGUCCCGGUUUAAGCGUGUAGGGGGAGUGACCAGGUAAAUCCGGUUGCUUAUCAACCCUGAGGCGUGAUGACGAUGCACCACGGUGCAGAAGCAGUUGAUGCCAUGCUUCCAGGAAAAGCCUCUAAGCAUCAGGUAACAUUAAAUCGUACCCCAAACCGACACAGGUGGUCAGGUAGAGAAUACUCAGGCGCUUGAGAGAACUCGGGUGAAGGAACUAGGCAAAAUGGUGCCGUAACUUCGGGAGAAGGCACGCUGGCGUUAGGUGAAAGGACUAGCUCCUGGAGCUGAAGCCAGUCGCAGAUACCAGCUGGCUGCAACUGUUUAAUAAAAACACAGCACUGUGCAAACACGAAAGUGGACGUAUACAGUGUGACGCCUGCCCGGUGCUGGAAGGUUAAUUGAUGGGGUCAGCCGCAAGGCGAAGCUCUUGAUCGAAGCCCCAGUAAACGGCGGCCGUAACUAUAACGGUCCUAAGGUAGCGAAAUUCCUUGUCGGGUAAGUUCCGACCUGCACGAAUGGCGUAAUGAUGGCCAGGCUGUCUCCACCCGAGACUCAGUGAAAUUGAACUCGCUGUGAAGAUGCAGUGUACCCGCGGCAAGACGGAAAGACCCCGUGAACCUUUACUAUAGCUUGACACUGAACAUUGAGCCUUGAUGUGUAGGAUAGGUGGGAGGCCUUGAAGUGUGGACGCCAGUCUGCAUGGAGCCAACCUUGAAAUACCACCCUUUAAUGUUUGAUGUUCUAACUCGGCCCCAUGAUCUGGGGUGAGGACAGUGUCUGGUGGGUAGUUUGACUGGGGCGGUCUCCUCCCAAAGAGUAACGGAGGAGCACGAAGGUUAGCUAAUCACGGUCGGACAUCGUGAGGUUAGUGCAAAGGCAUAAGCUAGCUUGACUGCGAGAGUGACGGCUCGAGCAGGUACGAAAGUAGGUCUUAGUGAUCCGGUGGUUCUGAAUGGAAGGGCCAUCGCUCAACGGAUAAAAGGUACUCCGGGGAUAACAGGCUGAUACCGCCCAAGAGUUCAUAUCGACGGCGGUGUUUGGCACCUCGAUGUCGGCUCAUCACAUCCUGGGGCUGAAGUAGGUCCCAAGGGUAUGGCUGUUCGCCAUUUAAAGUGGUACGCGAGCUGGGUUUAGAACGUCGUGAGACAGUUCGGUCCCUAUCUGCCGUGGGCGUUGGAAGAUUGAGAGGGGCUGCUCCUAGUACGAGAGGACCGGAGUGGACGAAUCACUGGUGUUCGGGUUGUCAUGCCAAUGGCAUUGCCCGGUAGCUAAAUUCGGAAGAGAUAACCGCUGAAAGCAUCUAAGCGGGAAACUUGCCUCGAGAUGAGUCUUCCCUGGGGCUUAAAGCCCCCUGAAGGAACGUUAAAGACUAUGACGUUGAUAGGCUGGGUGUGUAAGUGCAGCGAUGUAUUGAGCUAACCAGUACUAAUGAUCCGUGAGGCUUAACCUU
RNAcentral lists this ribosomal RNA (2907 nucleotides) under Yersinia pestis biovar Medievalis str. Harbin 35. Its description in RNAcentral is "bacterial LSU rRNA". It matches the Rfam family "Bacterial large subunit ribosomal RNA". The record is from RNAcentral. Lineage: Bacteria; Pseudomonadati; Pseudomonadota; Gammaproteobacteria; Enterobacterales; Yersiniaceae.